GUCACACAGAGUCGGACACGACUGAAGCCACUUAGCAACAGCAUAGAGACAGAGUAGAAUGGUGGUUGUCAGGGACUGGGGACUGGGGAAAAUGGGAAGAUAUUGGUGAAAGCAUACACAGUUUCCAUUAUAAGAUGAGUAAAUUCUGGCUACCUAGGGUACAAGGUGGUGGCUAUUGUUAACAAUGUUGUAUUAAAUACUUGAAGGUUGCUUAGAGGAUAGGUCUUAAAUGUUCUCAGAAACAGUGGUAGCUAUGUGAUGUGAAAAAGGUAUUAACUAACUUUAUUGUAGUAGUCAUUUCACAACAUAUACAUGUAUCAAAUCAUGUUGAACACCUUAAAUUUAUGCAAUGUUAUCUGUCAAUUGUAUCUCAAUAAAGGUGGGCAGGGGGAAGGAAAAUGGAGGGCAGAAGCGAGAGAAUGGUGUUGCAGCUUUGUAAGGGCAGGUUAGGAGAGGUGAGGAAAGGUUAGGUAGGGUUUGUUUUUUCUUUUAUUGUGAACCUGAAAGGACAAGGAAAAGAAACCAGGACUAGAACUUUCCUGGAGGCACUGUCAAGCCAACACUCCUGGAAUAAGAUCCGAGGUAAGAGUUGCCAACAAACACCCAAAACAAAUCUGCCUAUAGUAGAGCCCCGUCUCUACUCCAAAACACAGUCCCACUGCUCCACCCAGUGGCAAUCUUGAGAUAGUGCCCAAAGGAUAUCUACCAGAGCCACUCAGAUUACAUCAGAACCUUGACAUUGCAGGGAGGAGAGGCCAUGUUACUAUUCUUUUUUUUAAUCCCCAGGGACUCUGAUGUGCUGCUGCAUUUGAGAAUGGCUGGCCAAAUUUGCACUUUCCCUAUGACAUAGAGACUUCCUGGUGCCAGCUGCAAUGGCAGGUGGCACCUGGGCAAGGCGCUAACGUAGGCUAUCACUUUGUUUUUUCCAUUCUCUCAUCAGGAGUUUAAUUCUUUCUCAUCAACUGCCAUUUCUCAGUGAACGCUGUGUAUUGGGUGCUGGGAAUACAACACUGCACAAGACAAAUAAGGCUUCUGUCUUACAGUGAGUUUACAGUGAGGAAGACAAGCAAAUCUGUACAGAUGGCAAUAAGUUCUAUGAAGGAAAAGGACAUGGUGUUGAGACAGAAAACAACUGAGAGCCUGCAAUUGCUUCUGUCAUUUCAUUUAUCAUGCUGUGUUGUAUUGUGAAUGUUUCAGACGUUUCUUGGAUGUGUCUGGGGAAUUCCUGAAAUGAAACUGAGUGGCAGACCUUCAUCCAUAGACUUCAAUAAUUUUAGUGAUGAUAUCAAUGUCCUCUAGCAAAAGACUCCCAGGAACAUACAUAUAUUGAUGAAGCUCUACAGGAGACCCAGGUUUAAUUCCUGGGUCAGGAAGAUCCCCUGGAGAAGGAAAUGGCAACUCACUUCAGUAUUCUUGCCUGGCGAAUUCCAUGGACAGAGGGACCUUGCAGGCUACAGUCCAUGGGGUCACAAGAGUCGGACAUGAUUUAGGGACUUCACCACCACUAGCCAAAGACUCCCAGGAACACACAUACAGUGAUCAAAGUGGGUUUGUCACUUAGUGAGAAUCUACACCAUGGAGAACUGUGAGGCAUCUCAACAAAAAAAGGGUGCCGAACAAACUUAUUCUAGGCUUUGAGCUUUGGUUGAGUGACUUGGGGGAGGGUCAAAGGAAUCUGUGGUUCAGUCUGGGUUGGGUGCCAUCAGAAAACAGAGCCGUCCUGUGAUUGAGUAUCUCAGUCAAUUUUAUCAGGGGUGGGGGACAGACUAGAAUGAGACUAAUUGAUAAAGAAGCAGUGGUCACUCAUAUUAGUCAGGAAGGAGAAAUAUUCGGUCAUUUCUGUGGUUUGGACAAUGUUCGUAUUUUGUCUGGGUUCAGACAUUAUGGAGUAGUCUUGAUUUGUCUUGAUCCAUCAUAGUUGCAGAGUUGCCUGAUCUGAUACUGAUAAUCUGUGAAAUUUUGGGGGAUCGACAGAACACCAAGCUUUAGUUUGGUGUUGCUACUAGUGCCAGGCCAGCACCUACCAACACCAAGGCCAACUGAUAGUACUAGGCUAGCUCUUGGAUGUUAGGAAAUGUUUCUCUUUUUAGUUUGGUGUUUUACCAAUAGGCCAUGUGAAAGGGGGCUUCCUUAAAUGCAUUUCAAAGAGGUCUGACCUCCCCCUCCACCCUACAGGCAUUUCUGUCUCUAAGCCCAUGUUCUUUUGCCCCCACUGCAUUGCUCUAGCUCCAUCUACUCACCCCCUGGCAUAUUUCUGGGGCCUAUCCCAAGUCCUACAUUUUCCAUAAAGUCAUCUCUGAUCACUCCACUCCAAAGGACUUUCUUCUGCUCUGAUCUUGGUGCUUUUAUUGUUUAGUCUACCUGAUUGGCACUUUUAGGGUCUAACACUACAUGCAAUCCAUGUAUGUAAUGAUAAGAGGUAACAUGUACUGUUAAAAGAUCUUCUACUGCAAGAGACUUACCUCUCCAACUGAAACCUAAACUGUUUGAGGGUAGGGAUCAUAGGCUGAAAACUCAUGUUUUUUAUGUUUCAGGUUCUGUUUCAAGUUUUUGCAUAUGUUAAUUCGUUUAGUACAAGUCUACAAAGUAAGCACUAUUAUGAUCUCCACUUUUCAGGUGAAAACAAAAUACCUCUUAUUAACCCUCUGUUACCCACCCCCCACCCCUUCCCCAUCCAGUUAACUAAGAGGCUGGUUAAUUAUGGAUAGCAAAAGGCAGGGGAGUGGUGUGUGGAGAUUUUCUCCCCAAAUACUUUUCAACUAUAACUCACUUUACAUAAUACAUGCUCUUAAAAACAACAUUAAUAAAACCAUGUUUGCUUAAACAGAAGAGCUACCACUACUAUGCAGAUUAUCAAAGCAUUGUGAGGGCUUAUGAAGAUAGAUCAAUGCAAUUUGGCAUGUGGUAUCUCCUUAGACUUUCACAAUACUACUCUUAUCCUCAUUUUACAGGUAAAUAAACCAUGUUGCAGAGUGGUUCCCAGAAAGAAAAAGAGGAAGAGAAAACAAAAAAGGUUAAAAAAAAAAGAAGAGAAAGAAAAGUGGAGGUACAGAUUCAAUGCAAGUUCUAUUAAAAUUCCAAUGACAUUUUUCAUGGAAAUAAGACAAAUAGUCCAAUCAUAUGGAAUCACAAAUAACCAAA
Bubalus bubalis (water buffalo) is the source of this 3141-nucleotide long non-coding RNA. RefSeq lists it as uncharacterized. The transcript has 2 exons. The record is from RefSeq and is a predicted model, not a curated record. Lineage: Eukaryota; Metazoa; Chordata; Mammalia; Artiodactyla; Bovidae.